Molecule: ribosomal RNA, 494 nt
Filed under: Priestia aryabhattai
Lineage: Bacteria; Bacillati; Bacillota; Bacilli; Caryophanales; Bacillaceae
Description: bacterial SSU rRNA
Rfam family: Bacterial small subunit ribosomal RNA
Source: RNAcentral
AGUCUGACGGAGCAACGCCGCGUGAGUGAUGAAGGCUUUCGGGUCGUAAAACUCUGUUGUUAGGGAAGAACAAGUACGAGAGUAACUGCUCGUACCUUGACGGUACCUAACCAGAAAGCCACGGCUAACUACGUGCCAGCAGCCGCGGUAAUACGUAGGUGGCAAGCGUUAUCCGGAAUUAUUGGGCGUAAAGCGCGCGCAGGCGGUUUCUUAAGUCUGAUGUGAAAGCCCACGGCUCAACCGUGGAGGGUCAUUGGAAACUGGGGAACUUGAGUGCAGAAGAGAAAAGCGGAAUUCCACGUGUAGCGGUGAAAUGCGUAGAGAUGUGGAGGAACACCAGUGGCGAAGGCGGCUUUUUGGUCUGUAACUGACGCUGAGGCGCGAAAGCGUGGGGAGCAAACAGGAUUAGAUACCCUGGUAGUCCACGCCGUAAACGAUGAGUGCUAAGUGUUAGAGGGUUUCCGCCCUUUAGUGCUGCAGCUAACGCAUUAAGC